This 459-nucleotide ribosomal RNA is filed under the name uncultured bacterium. Its description in RNAcentral is "partial 16S ribosomal RNA". It matches the Rfam family "Bacterial small subunit ribosomal RNA", at positions 338 to 795 of the family's 1533-position model. The record is from RNAcentral.
CCUACGGGAGGCAGCAGUGAGGAAUAUUGGUCAAUGGGCGAGAGCCUGAACCAGCCAAGUCGCGUGAGGGAAGACGGUCCUAUGGAUUGUAAACCUCUUUUGCCGGGGAGCAAAAAGCGGUACGUGUACCGCAUCGAGAGUACCCGGAGAAAAAGCAUCGGCUAACUCCGUGCCAGCAGCCGCGGUAAUACGGAGGAUGCGAGCGUUAUCCGGAUUUAUUGGGUUUAACGGGUGCGCAGGCGGCGAGUUAAGUCAGCGGUAAAAUUUCGGGGCUCAACCCCGACAAGCCGUUGAAACUGGCUUGCUAGAGUGGGCGAGAAGUAUGCGGAAUGCGUGGUGUAGCGGUGAAAUGCAUAGAUAUCACGCAGAACUCCGAUUGCGAAGGCAACUCACUGGACUGCAACUGACACUGAGGCUCGAAAGUGUGGGUAUCAAACAGGAUUAGAUACCCUUGUAGUC